GUCCACGCUGUAAACGAUGAAUACUAGGUGUGCGGGGACUGACCCCCUGCGUGCCGCAGUUAACACAAUAAGUAUUCCACCUGGGGAGUACGAUCGCAAGGUUGAAACUCAAAGGAAUUGACGGGGGGCCCGCACAAGCGGUGGAUUAUGUGGUUUAAUUCGACGCAACGCGAAGAACCUUACCAGGGCUUGACAUCCUACUAACGAAGUAGAGAUACAUCAGGUGCCCUUCGGGGAAAGUAGAGACAGGUGGUGCAUGGUUGUCGU
RNAcentral lists this ribosomal RNA (267 nucleotides) under uncultured bacterium. Its description in RNAcentral is "partial 16S ribosomal RNA". It matches the Rfam family "Bacterial small subunit ribosomal RNA", at positions 793 to 1055 of the family's 1533-position model. The record is from RNAcentral.